This 45-nucleotide non-coding RNA is filed under the name Schistosoma margrebowiei. Lineage: Eukaryota; Metazoa; Platyhelminthes; Trematoda; Strigeidida; Schistosomatidae. The record is from RNAcentral.
AUCUAACUGACGAGUCCCAAAUAGAACGAAGUUCGUAUUCUGGAU